GAUGAACGCUAGCUACAGGCUUAACACAUGCAAGUCGCGGGGCAGCAUGGGGGUUGCUUGCAAUCCCCGAUGGCGACCGGCGCACGGGUGAGUAACGCGUAUCCAACCUGCCCUUCACCACGGGAUAACCCGGCGAAAGUCGGACUAAUACCGUAUGUUGUCCAUUGACGGCAUCCGAUUUGGACGAAAGGUUUGGCGGUGAAGGAUGGGGAUGCGUCCGAUUAGCUGGACGGCGGGGUGACGGCCCACCGUGGCGACGAUCGGUAGGGGUUCUGAGAGGAAGGUCCCCCACACUGGAACUGAGACACGGUCCAGACUCCUACGGGAGGCAGCAGUGAGGAAUAGUGGUCAAUGGGCGUAAGCCUGAACCAGCCAAGUAGCGUGCAGGAUGACGGCCCUAUGGGUUGUAAACUGCUUUUAUGCGGGGAUAAAGUGGCCCACGUGUGGGUUUUUGCAGGUACCGCAUGAAUAAGGACCGGCUAAUUCCGUG
RNAcentral lists this ribosomal RNA (490 nucleotides) under uncultured bacterium. RNAcentral describes it as "partial 16S ribosomal RNA". It matches the Rfam family "Bacterial small subunit ribosomal RNA", at positions 28 to 507 of the family's 1533-position model. The record is from RNAcentral.